Molecule: ribosomal RNA, 969 nt
Filed under: Tabachnickia sp. DVL-2014
Lineage: Eukaryota; Metazoa; Porifera; Hexactinellida; Amphidiscosida; Hyalonematidae
Description: small subunit ribosomal RNA
Source: RNAcentral
AUCACUCAAUUUAACAGCAAAGAAAAAUUAAAUAUUUUAAAGACACAUGCUAGCAAUAAACGAAAUAGUGAAAAAAAUAUAAUUCAACCAAAUUUAAAAUCCAAAAACUAUAUAACAAAAAUAAAUAAAACUUUACAAAAUAGUCACAUUUCAAUCGAAACAAAACAACAGCAGUGCAAUACAUUAUGCAAUAUACAAACGUAUGACAUUACAAAAUACCCGAACCUCUCGAAAAAAGAACAGUCAAACUAGUGUGCCAGCAGACGCGGUUACACACAUUGUCCCAAUUUUUUCUUCUCAAACAGGAUUAUGCAAAAGAUUAAUAAAUAAAAUAAGAAAAAAAGCAUAUAAAAAAGCAGUAAAAAGCUAAUAUAAGAAACUUUCCCAUAACCAAUUUCUAAAACAUAAACAUCUUUACGCAAAAGUAUAGAAAACAAAGAGGAUUAGAUACCCUCGUAGACUAUACCAUAAAACUACUCCAAAUACAAAAAAAUAACGAACACACCUAACCCAAAAAAUCGCAAGAUUUUCCAAAAAACAAAUUUGAGGGAAUCUAAUAAAAUCAGAGGAGCGUAUAUCUUAAUAUGAAAUUACACAAAAACCUUACCUUAAUCAAAAAAGUGACUCAUAACCGUACAGUAUUACUAUAAAGUUCAACAAAACUCAUACCACAUAGGAAAAACACCGGUCCACAUAUCCUUUAUAUUAAGGGCCGAUAAGCGCCACAAAUUAUUAAACAUAUUAUAACGCCACAUAAAUUGAAACAACCUAUGAAAAGGAGAAUUUGAAAGUAAUCAUUAACAAACACAUAAUGGUGAAAUAAUUAACAAUUACUACAUACCGCCCGUCAAUUACUUACAAAAAGAGAAAAAACAAUCAUUAAAACCAUAAAAACAAAAUAAACAACAACAAAAAAUAAAAAGCAAUAAGUCGUAACAAGGUAGCCGUAUCUGAAGAUGCGGCUAAAAA